GAGAUAAAGGCAUGGACAAGUUUUUCUGCAUCUGACAGGUUUGGGAGGGGCAGAGUUUAGAGAUGUUUUUGAGAUGGUAGAAAGAGAUUUUGCAUAGAUGUUUUAUAUGGUAAUCAAAAGUCAGCUGAGGGUCAAAGCUAACACCCAGGUUAGUGACUGAGGAGGAAAAGGGGAUGUCCUGGCUGUCAAAGGUGUGAUGAGGUAUGAAGGAUGACUGAAUCUGGUGUGGAGUGCCAAUAAGGAGAGCUUCAGUUUUGCUGCUGUUAAACUGGAGGAAAUGUGUGCUUAUCCAAGCCUUUAUCUCCUUAAGACAGGUGCUGAAGUGUGACAUGGCUGACAAGGGCUUGGGGCAGUUUUGAUGUACAGCUGGGUAUCAUCAGCAUAGCAAUGAAAAGACAUCACAUGUCUGCUGAUGACAUGUUCAAGGGGGAGCAUUUAGGGCUAGGGUCACACUCAGCCUGAAGCUAAGAAGCAACCACCUUCUCUAACACCUUGGACAGGAAAGGGAGGUUGGAGCUAGCAAGAACUUCUGGGUCCAAGGUAGGCUUCUUGAGGUGGGGGCGGAUGACGGCAACCUUGAGGUUAGAUGAAACACUACCAGUUUGAAGGGAGAGGUUGACAGUUUUGGUGAUUAGGGGGCUGAGAACGGGGAUGUAUUAUUUGAGCAGAGCUCUGGCAAUGGGGCCCAGGGCACAAGUACAGGGUUUCAUCUUCCUGAGGAUUUCAUCAAUGUGGCUCUAUCCGACGCCAGUAAAAUAGAGUAGAGAUGGCGAGCUCCCAGACAGAGGGUCGAUGACAGGAGGAGGCAGAGAGGAAGAGCUGGACAUCAGAGAGCGGAUGUUGUUGACCUUGGCUUUGAAAAAGUUAAUGAAGCUGUUAUAUCUUCUUCUGUAGCCUCAAUUGGGGAAGAUGAUUGUGGCUUCAGGAGAUGAUUUAUGGUGGAACAAAGACGCUUAGGGUUGCCAAGGUUGUUAUUAAUUAGGUUGGAAUAGAACUGUGACUGAGCACUUUUAAGGGACUUUGAGUGAGUCCAUUGAUGUUCACAGACAGCAAGCCCAGAGCGUUUGGAGCGCCGUUCCUGGACACAUCCAGCUGUUUUUAUUUUCUGAAGGUCAUGAAUGAGUGUGAAAAAUUGACCUCAGUGAUGACCAAGUCAAGUGUGUGCCCCAUGGUGUUUUGCAUCUCGCCUGGUAUAGGGUAGUCUUGCAAUGUUUCCAACGAUGACACCCGAGUUUGUUUUGUUUCCGUAUUCCAUACUGAAACCAUGGUGCAAGUUUUAAAAAACCAUUGUCAAAUGUAAUUAGGAAGCUGCGUAAACUCUGUAGCUGUGUGGCAGUGUAGGACAUCAUAAUUAAAGCAGUUGCAUUGUUUAAGCAGAAUGGCAGCAUUGGUAACAACUGCAGUCACAGUCACACAGUGGAGAUCAUUACAGCAAACAUCAGGGGAGCUCCAGUUGAAGAAAAACCCCAGUCACUAGAGUCUGUCAAUGACAGUGCUGCUUCUGCACUGAUAGAGUGUGCAGGGGAGCCAGACGGGGCUUUGUGGCACACCUGAGGCGGCAGGCUGGAGGAAGAGACAGCCGCUGUCCUCCAGAGAAAAGGGAUCCCAGUAGAGCAGGUAUUUCAAAGCCUCUGCCUGUAAAAUAUCAACAUUUUUGAAAGUCAGAUGAACACCAUUUAUCAACACUACACAACACUGGGAAUCCUUGGAACUCAUCAUUGACAGGAACAAUGCAGCGUUGACAACUACAGGUAGCAGAAACAGCAGUAUUUCUGCAUCUACACUGGAUCAACCCAGGGCUUGUUUAUGCGUCACGCAUUCUUGUGUUGCACAAGCUGCAAUUUCUACAAGCAGAUGGAUGGACAAAGCUACUGAAUUUUGUGGACUUGUUUUGUCCUCUAGUCUAACAUCUGUUCAUUUUAUCCCUCAGCUCAUUGCAUGUCUGUUAAGAUUGAAUGCUUAAGCUUUACGGUGGCAGCAAGUUGGGGGUUGUAUAUACUUUUUUGUUACCAUUAAACCCGUCUCAAUAAAUGUGGUAAAUCCUUAAACAUAAUCCCAAGAAGACUCUAAACUGUACUGUAGAUUUCCAGCAGUGAAGUGCUACAACAUUGCACAACUGGUUUUAGCAGAGCUUGUGGCUUAUGCAGUUUGAUCAUUUGUGAGUCAUAAGAUGUAGUUUGUAUAUUUUUCAAACAGAAUCUGGGAAAAUGUAACCUAACGCCUCGAUUCUUAUUCUCCAUAUUGCUUUUCUGCGUCUGGCACACACUCUUCUUCUGCCACCAUGUCCCUCCUCAUGCUUCC
Thunnus maccoyii (southern bluefin tuna) is the source of this 2301-nucleotide long non-coding RNA. RefSeq lists it as uncharacterized. The record is from RefSeq and is a predicted model, not a curated record. The transcript has 3 exons. NCBI's taxonomy places the organism in Eukaryota, Metazoa, Chordata, Actinopteri, Scombriformes, Scombridae.